UGCAGUGGCAGUGUUUGCGCUGACUUUGUUCUUGAUGGUGUGACUGUAAAUAACGAUGUCUGCUGCAUGAAGACAUUCAUCUCCCUUUAGGAGUGAAACCGCUAAACCUGUCAAGAACACGCCUGAGACAUAUUUCAGCUCCGAAUCUAAAGAAAGAGAAACAGCUUUGCUGAAUGGACUGAAGGCUGUUUGAAAGCACAGCGCGCUGGACGCUGCUCCAUUCAGAAUAGUCAACAUGUUCCGACAUCCUGCCCUACAAAGAUGUUACGGAUUCCUAUUCCACGUCCUCUGUAAAUGACUAACAGGAAAGAACUGUGCGCCGACUGACCCAGAAAUGAGCGAGACUCAUCCACAGCGCGGGAGUGUAUCAGUUCCUCCGAGCAAUCCCACCGUCGUACCGGCCCCUCGCACGAGACGCUCAAUCAACUAUGCAUGACUUGCCCUUAAUAGGUUUCUUCACUGGAAAUUUGGAACGGUUGUUAGCUGCUCGACUGGUAUGGAACCACUUUGGUCCCUCGAGAAUGGAGCUAUACUAUAACAGUCUGCAAGAACAACUAUCACAUGGCCAUAGUCAUAAAAGCAAGAA
Long non-coding RNA from Sinocyclocheilus rhinocerous, 586 nucleotides. RefSeq lists it as uncharacterized. The record is from RefSeq and is a predicted model, not a curated record. NCBI's taxonomy places the organism in Eukaryota, Metazoa, Chordata, Actinopteri, Cypriniformes, Cyprinidae. The transcript is spliced from 3 exons.